This is a long non-coding RNA of Carassius carassius (crucian carp), 504 nucleotides long. RefSeq lists it as uncharacterized. The record is from RefSeq and is a predicted model, not a curated record. NCBI's taxonomy places the organism in Eukaryota, Metazoa, Chordata, Actinopteri, Cypriniformes, Cyprinidae. The transcript is spliced from 5 exons.
CAGUUUGACCAGUGUGGCGCUGUAGCGCAAGAUUGUAAUACACUCUCCUGAUUCAAUUCAAAAGAAGAAGAUAGCACUUCAGUUUGAGCAAACCGAGCCGAUCCGAACCUUGGAUGAAUAUAUUUGUGCAGAAUUUGAGACAUACAGAAUUACCAUAGGCCCAUUAGAAUCAACAGUCUUUGCCAAACUGGAUCCGCACUACAAAACUUAUGAAGAUGUUUGCAUACUGAAGAAGAGUGCUUGGACAAAUACUGAAACCCUCUUGGUGCCCACUACACAGGGGUGUCCAGACCUGCUCUAGGAAAGCCAGUGUUCUCUGGAGUUUAGCUCUAACACACCUGCCUGGAACUUCUAACUAAUGAAUUUGAAGUAUCCAAAUGAAGACCCUAGCAGUAUGGAGUACAUGGAUACAGACGUUGGCAGCAAUCAGGAGGUGAUCAAGAAGACUCGUGGGAAUCUAUUUGAAGCUGCAUCAUUGAAGACAGUUCAGCAGAAGUUGGAGUU